AUACGGGGGGGGCAAGCGUUGUUCGGAAUUACAGGGCGUAAAGCGCGCGGAGGCGGACUUUCAAGUCAGGGGUGAAAUCCCGAGGCUCAACCUCGGAACUGCCUCUGAUACUGAGAGUCUUGAGGCCGAGAGAGGUGAGUGGAAUUCCUAGUGUAGAGGUGAAAUUCGUAGAUAUUAGGAAGAACACCAGUGGCGAAGGCGGCUCACUGGCUCGGUACUGACGCUGAGGCGCGAAAGCGUGGGGAGCAAACAGGAUUAGAAACCCCAGUAGUCC
Molecule: ribosomal RNA, 274 nt
Filed under: uncultured bacterium
Lineage: Bacteria
Description: partial 16S ribosomal RNA
Rfam family: Bacterial small subunit ribosomal RNA
Source: RNAcentral